AAGGAAAGACACUUGAAAAUAAUUCAUACCCAAUAGUUUAUAAUGAUUCUUUCCAUCUUGACAGAACGGAAAAUCUGGCUCAAUUGCGGUCGUAAGUCGAGGACUACCUCUUUCUGGAACUCCGCAUCGACAAACGCCAGCCCAUUCUUAUUUUAGUUUGACAGAUCGAACGUCAAGUAAAAAGGCCUCUUGCUUUUUCAGACUG
Molecule: long non-coding RNA, 205 nt
Organism: Pantherophis guttatus
Lineage: Eukaryota; Metazoa; Chordata; Lepidosauria; Squamata; Colubridae
Source: RefSeq, a predicted model, not a curated record